ACACACUCCAUAUUACCCAGUCUUUCUGUCAUCACAGUAGGCUGAUUUCCAGGGAACAAUCAAUUAAUAUCUAGGUCAAAACAAAUGUGGCUUAGAAGGAAAAAAGGCAGAGAGACAGAGACCAGAAACAUGUAGCAGAAAUUAAUUUGAUGCAACAAUUUCUGGUUCUGAAACAGAGCAAGUAAGAUAAGGAUGUGGCUGGUUUUGUGAUCACUGUAAUCAGCAUGACUGACUGCUUACAGACGACUAAUUUUCAGUUCUAGGGAGGAUAUGCUGAGGGAAAAAGGGCAAGUUAUAGAGGAAAACAAGUUGAAUGAGUGACCUGAAUGAGUCCGUGCUGAACUUCCAGUUUUCUGAGGAGCUCUUCAGGAGUAGACACAAAUGCAUAGAAGAGAAAGGAUGCAGAGAAGCAGAAA
Molecule: long non-coding RNA, 416 nt
Organism: Passer domesticus (house sparrow)
Lineage: Eukaryota; Metazoa; Chordata; Aves; Passeriformes; Passeridae
Exons: 3
Source: RefSeq, a predicted model, not a curated record